This 269-nucleotide ribosomal RNA is filed under the name uncultured prokaryote. RNAcentral describes it as "partial 16S ribosomal RNA". It matches the Rfam family "Bacterial small subunit ribosomal RNA", at positions 524 to 792 of the family's 1533-position model. The record is from RNAcentral.
UACGUAGGUGGCAAGCGUUGUCCGGAUUUAUUGGGCGUAAAGGGAGCGCAGGCGGUGACUUAAGUCUGAUGUGAAAGCCCACGGCUCAACCGUGGAAGGUCAUUGGAAACUGGGUCACUUGAAUACAGAAGAGGAAAGUGGAAUUCCAUGUGUAGCGGUGAGAUGCGUAGAUAUAUGGAGGAACACCAGUGGCGAAGGCGACUUUCUGGUCUGUUAUUGACGCUGAGGCUCGAAAGCAUGGGUAGCAAACAGGAUUAGAUACCCGGGUA